RNA transcript from Pan troglodytes (chimpanzee), 604 nucleotides. RefSeq lists it as uncharacterized. Lineage: Eukaryota; Metazoa; Chordata; Mammalia; Primates; Hominidae. The transcript has 3 exons. The record is from RefSeq and is a predicted model, not a curated record.
GACCAGCACGCGGGGGCGUGGCUCAGGCUCGUGGAGGCGUCCGAGCUCCAGGGCAGCUCUGGGGCAGAACUGUCCGGAUCUAACAAUGCUUGGGGAGCCGGAGACCGGUGACCGAUCUGUGGGCUAACUCAGGGCUGCCCGGGAGACAUAGGCGGGCCGUGGGGGCAGCCGCCCUGCCCGCAGGCCAUGUGGCCCCCGCUGUUGCUGCUGCUGCUGCUGCUCCCGGCCGCCCCGGUCCCCACCGCCAAAGCCGCUCCCCUCCCGGAUGCUAACACCCAGGAAGGCCUUCAGAACCUGCUCCAAGGAGUCGAGGCUGGCGGAGACGGAGAGCUGCAGGCAGACUCACACCUGGCCCCGGGCUCUGGCUGUAUUGAUGGGGCUGUGGUGGCCACACGACCAGAAAGCCGGGGAGGAAGUCCUGCGGCUCCGUGAGAGGUGUCCAGGGCUGCAGGCCACGGCGACAGGCUCCGGGGAACAUGGGGCUUUCCCUGUCCACUCCCAAGGAGUGUGGGUCUCAACGCAUUGGCAGGGGACGGCCGUGUGCCCUCUCCAGACCCCACCCCCAGAUGCAUUUAUUAGAAAUAAUAAAGUUCUUUCUUAGCUA